Molecule: ribosomal RNA, 441 nt
Filed under: uncultured bacterium
Lineage: Bacteria
Description: partial 16S ribosomal RNA
Rfam family: Bacterial small subunit ribosomal RNA
Source: RNAcentral
CCUACGGGUGGCAGCAGUCGGGAAUAUUGCGCAAUGGAGGAAACUCUGACGCAGUGACGCCGCGUGCAGGAAGAAGGUUUUCGGAUUGUAAACUGCUUUAGACAGGGAAGAAAAAAGACAGUACCUGUAGAAUAAGCUCCGGCUAACUACGUGCCAGCAGCCGCGGUAAUACGUAGGGAGCAAGCGUUAACCGGAUUUAUUGGGUGUAAAGGGUGCGUAGACGGAGAAACAAGUUAGUUGUGAAAUCCCUGGGCUUAACUGAGGAACAGCAACUAAAACUAGUGCCCGUGAGUACUGGAGAAGAAAGGGGAAUGCCUGGUGUAGCGGGGAAAUGCGUAGAUAUUAGGAGGAACACCAGUUGCGAAGGCGACUUUCUGGACAGUAACUGACGUGGAGGCACGAAAGUGUGGGGAGCAAACAGGAUUAGAUACCCCAGUAGUC